GCGCGUAGCGGAGGGGGCGGGACUCCAGCUCCGCGUCUCUUCCAACCGCAGUUUGAAGCAGCGCCAUUUUGAGCCUUCGGCCGCGGCGGGCGUGAUUGCGGGGAGGCAGGGUUCUCCUCCUUCGCCUGGCUUUCCUCGCUCCGUUUCCAUAGCUACAUGUGGAGACGUGUGCACCUCGACGCCUAGGCCGCAUCCUGCAUCCCCGGCGAACUCGCCAAGAUGAUGCUGAGGGGGAACCUGAAGCAAGUGCGCAUUGAGAAAAACCCGGCCCGCCUUCGCGCCCUGGAGUCGGCGGCCGGCGAGGGCGAGCCGGUGGCGGCGGCGGCCAUGGCGCUGACGCUGGCCGGGGAGCAGGCGCCGCCGCCCGCGCCCUCGGAGGAGCACCCUGACGAGGAGAUGGGCUUCACCAUCGACAUCAAGAGCUUCCUCAAGCCGGGCGAGAAGACGUACACGCAGCGCUGCCGCCUCUUCGUGGGCAACCUGCCUACCGACAUCACGGAGGAGGACUUCAAGCGGCUCUUCGAGCGCUACGGCGAGCCCAGCGAGGUCUUCAUCAACCGCGACCGCGGCUUCGGCUUCAUCCGCCUGGAAUCCAGAACACUGGCUGAAAUUGCAAAAGCAGAGCUGGAUGGCACCAUACUGAAGAGCAGACCUCUCCGAAUUCGCUUUGCUACACAUGGAGCAGCCCUAACAGUCAAGAACCUUUCUCCAGUUGUUUCCAAUGAGCUUCUAGAGCAAGCAUUUUCCCAGUUUGGUCCAGUAGAGAAAGCUGUUGUGGUUGUGGAUGAUCGUGGUAGAGCUACAGGAAAAGGUUUUGUAGAAUUUGCAGCGAAACCUCCUGCACGAAAGGCUCUGGAGAGAUGUGGUGAUGGGGCAUUCUUGCUGACAACAACACCUCGUCCAGUCAUUGUAGAACCCAUGGAACAGUUUGAUGAUGAAGAUGGUUUACCAGAGAAGCUAAUGCAGAAAACUCAACAAUACCAUAAGGAAAGAGAACAGCCCCCACGGUUUGCUCAACCUGGGACGUUUGAAUUUGAAUAUGCAUCUCGAUGGAAGGCUCUUGAUGAGAUGGAAAAGCAGCAGCGUGAACAGGUUGAUAGAAACAUCAGAGAAGCCAAAGAGAAACUGGAGGCAGAGAUGGAAGCUGCUAGACAUGAACACCAGUUAAUGCUAAUGAGGCAAGAUCUAAUGAGGCGUCAAGAAGAACUCAGACGCUUGGAAGAACUCAGAAACCAAGAAUUGCAGAAACGGAAGCAAAUACAACUGAGACAUGAAGAGGAACAUCGUCGUCGUGAAGAAGAAAUGAUCAGACACAGAGAACAGGAGGAACUGAGGCGGCAACAGGAGGGCUUUAAACCAAACUAUAUGGAAAAUGUUGUGAAGGCAACAUGGAACUGCUGGUCUAACACAGAACAAACACACCAGGAAUGCUGGCACGUGCUUCUGCAGUGGGUUAUUUGGAGUCUGUGCAGAAGCGAGCUCCCUCUUCUUGCAAUUCUGAACCCUCUGGAUUGUGCUGACAUGGUCUCUAGGAACGGAUUUUGUCUGACGACAGCCACCUGUUUGCAGGGUCACUGCCCAGGUCCAACUACAAGCUUGGCCAUCCUGCUCCAGCUGCUAGGUCUCAGAGCUCCUCUCAGCUCCAGAUUUUAGACUUUUAGACUUACGUUUCCUUUGGAAAAUGUCAUCAUUAAAAAUGCUGUGUAAUGUCACAGCAUGUUCGAGAAAAACAGAAAUUUCAGACCAGAAAACCUUGCGUUGCAAUUAAUGCUUAUGAGCAAUGAUAAUGCCUUAGAGUCCACAGGAGAAAUUUCUACGGGGAAGAAUUCCAGCUUUGUUAUAUUGGAACAGGCCUUCCAGGUAAGUUUCUAACUCAUCGUGUAGCCAGGUGCCCUUUUGCCUCUGGUCCUCCUGCCUCCUCUUAGGCACAGAACAAGCACUUCUCAAUCUUAGCAGUGUAGUCACCCUACAUGUUAAUUCCAAGUAUCAUCACCCUAGGUGCUAGGGAUAAAAGUGACUCACCCUUUCACAGGAUGACCAGGAAAUGCUGUACCACCUUUCAGAACAUCAAAUGCAUGCACAUUUGUAUAGUGUAUAGUAAAUACUUACUAUAUCUGAUUUCUUGCUGUGUGUGGAAAGGGCUCAUGUUUUGACCGCACAACAGUCAUGCUAAACAGCCUCUAGAGCUAUGCCUAUAGAGUUACAAGCAGGAGCCACCAUGACCUAGCCCGAAUGUUUUCUUUUUUGUUUUCCAAAGACACGACUCAGAAAGAAUAGUAGAAAAUUUCAAAUUCAGAUUUUUUAAUUUCUAGAUAGUUCUCAUAUAUAGUGUUCCACAUUGUGGAAAUAAACUAUGCAGAACAUUCUGAACAAUGGCACAGAUACAUACAUGAAGACUAUAAACAUAAAGCCCUGUUGUACUUUAACAGGCAACAGUCUUACAUUGCAAGUUUACAGAUAGAACUACAUAGGAACAUUUGUGUGCCAGAAUUCGAAAGUGCUACAGACUUGGACUUGGGAAUCCAGCAGAAAGAGGCCUGGUCUCAGUCCUUUGGUCAGUUCAGCUGCACUCUGUAUGCACCUAUUAGCAAUUUCACCUAAGGGAGAGAAGUGAGGGGUCAGUACGUACAGCUCCCACCUUGUCAGAGCAUUAGGUUUGGGCUAUUUGUUACUACAUUAGUGCAGCUGCUUAAUAUGGAGAGAUCUUGCCUGCUUAGGCCCAGCCACGCAGUAGCAGUGUAAGGCUGCAGUGAAGGUGAGGCCAGGGCUCAGCAAGGAAGCUCUCAGGCCAACCCUCAGCCAGGUGUGCCCAUAGCAGGCCUCAUGCAGAGGACUUGUCUGCACUAUGUGCACAGACAUUUCCAGACAAUUUUUCUUUUUAAGAAGCAGUAACUGUAAAUACAAAGCAAAGAUUUUUUUCACCUUGGCAAAGGGUGCUUCAGUCAACCUUAUAAACAGCUUAUUGGGUCCGGCAACAGGGCUGAACGAGUAGACAAAGUGACUAUCCUAGAGAGGAAAGAAAAAUGAAGUCAGACUCACAUCUGUGACAUGUACAGUGGAGACCUAGAAUUUUAGGAUAGGAUCUAUGUAGGCCAGAGCUGACGGCUCAGCUUGUCUGGUGAGCCAGGUAUUAUCUGUCUACCUGUACAUGAAAUGUCCUUACUGCAUUAUCUCCCAGGCCCUCAACAAGUUUGUUUUGGGAGGCAGAGUUGGAGGAUCAAUGCAAGUUCAAGGCCUUGCAUAUCUGCACUUAGUUCUAGGCUACCUGAGGCUGCGUGGUGAUACCCAGUAUAGCACCAAGCACAGAAAUAUGGCUACAUUCAAUACAAUGCUUAAUUUAAGCCUUAGAGAAUUCCAGAAGUGGCAAAAAGGAGUGAUGAUGUGCUUUCUGGUAAAAGUAUGAAGGGUUGGCCAGUGCAGUGGCACACGCCUGUAAUCUCAGUGUUCAGGGAGGUACGGGCAGGUGGAUCUACAAAGUCCAGGACAGUCAGGGCUACAGAGUUUUAGAAACCCUGUCUCCAAAAUCCAAAGAGUAUCAUGGGUUGAUGGUCAACUUCCUCUAGCUUGUUGGAUAGUAGUAGCCUUACUUCAACCAAAUCAAAACACCAACAACAGCAUUCAUUUAUGCAUUAACAAGCAUAAACAUAACCACUUAAUCCUGCCUUCAUUCUCAGACUGCAGCAUAAUUUUUAAAGUGGAUAAAUAAACAUUAAAUAUUUAAAAACAAAAUUUGGGUUUUUUAUAAUAAAUGUGAAUUUUAAUAA
RNA transcript from Meriones unguiculatus (Mongolian gerbil), 3764 nucleotides. It is a transcript of the gene named paraspeckle component 1, with no coding region annotated. The record is from RefSeq and is a predicted model, not a curated record. The transcript is spliced from 9 exons. NCBI's taxonomy places the organism in Eukaryota, Metazoa, Chordata, Mammalia, Rodentia, Muridae.